Molecule: ribosomal RNA, 497 nt
Filed under: uncultured bacterium
Lineage: Bacteria
Description: partial 16S ribosomal RNA
Rfam family: Bacterial small subunit ribosomal RNA
Source: RNAcentral
GAUGAACGCUGGCGGCGUGCCUAAUACGUGCAAGUCGAACGACCAGACGAUGAGCUUUCUCCUCUGACGUUAGCGGCUGACGGGUGAGUAACACGUGGAUAACCUACCUAUAAUACUGGGAUAACUUCGUGAAACCGGAUCUGAUACCGGAUAAUAUAUUGAACCGCAUGGUUCAAUAGUUCAAGGCAGUUUUGGUGUCACUUUUAGCUGGAGUCGCGCCGCAUUAGCUAGGUGGUAAGGUAACGGCCUACCAAGGCAACGAUGCGUAGCCGACCUGAGAGGGUGAUCGGCCACACUGGAACUGAGACACGGUCCAGACUCCUACGGGAGGCAGCAGUAGGGAAUAUUCGGCAAUGGGCGAAAGCCUGACGGAGCAACGCCGCGUGAGUGAUGAAGGUCUUCGGAUCGUAAAACCCUGUUAUUAGGAAAGAACAAAUGUGUAAGUAACUCUGGACGUCUUGACGGUACCUAAUCAGAAAGCCACGGCUAACUACGUG